CAGCACCUCAAGUGGUCAGGACGAUUAUUGGGCCUAAAGCAUCCGUAGCCGGCUCUGUAAGUUUUCGGUUAAAUCUGUACGCUCAACGUACAGGCUGCCGGGAAUACUGCAGAGCUAGGGAGUGGGAGAGGUAGACGGUACUCGGUAGGAAGGGGUAAAAUCCUUUGAUCCAUUGAUGACCACCUGUGGCGAAGGCGGUCUACCAGAACACGUCCGACGGUGAGGGAUGAAAGCUGGGGGAGCAAACCGGAUUAGAGACCCGAGUAGUCC
RNAcentral lists this ribosomal RNA (270 nucleotides) under uncultured archaeon. RNAcentral's name for it is "partial 16S ribosomal RNA". It matches the Rfam family "Archaeal small subunit ribosomal RNA", at positions 477 to 747 of the family's 1478-position model. The record is from RNAcentral.